Molecule: unclassified non-coding RNA, 277 nt
Filed under: uncultured fungus
Lineage: Eukaryota; Fungi
Description: partial contains 5.8S ribosomal RNA, internal transcribed spacer 2, and large subunit ribosomal RNA
Source: RNAcentral
AACGCACAUUGCGCCCGGCAGCAAUCUGCCGGGCAUGCCUGUCCGAGCGUCAUUUCUCCCCUCGAGCAGCGGUUCCCAGUCCUCCGGGGCUGGGGCCGCGGCCCGGUGUUGGGGUCCUGCGGCCUGGCCGCAGUCCCCGAAAUGAAGUGGCGGUCCCGCCGCGGCGCCCCCUGCGUAGUAGUCUACACCUCGCAUCGGGUCCCGGCGAAGGCCAGCCGUCGAACCUAACUCUUGAUGGUUUGACCUCGGAUCAGGUAGGGUUACCCGCUGAACUUAA